Molecule: microRNA, 17 nt
Filed under: Corchorus olitorius
Lineage: Eukaryota; Viridiplantae; Streptophyta; Magnoliopsida; Malvales; Malvaceae
Description: hsa-miR-44
Source: RNAcentral
UUGGAGGUUUGGGUUUU